UACAGAGGUCUCAAGCGUUGUUCGGAUUCAUUGGGCGUAAAGGGUGCGUAGGCGGCGCGGUAAGUCGGGUGUGAAAUCUUGGAGCUUAACUCCGAAACUGCAUUCGAUACUGCCGUGCUUGAGGACUGGAGAGGAGACUGGAAUUUACGGUGUAGCGGUGAAAUGCGUAGAUAUCAGGAGGAACACCGGUGGCGAAGGCGGCCCUCUGGACGGUGACUGACGCUGAGACGCGAAAGCGUGGGGAGCAAACAGG
RNAcentral lists this ribosomal RNA (253 nucleotides) under uncultured bacterium. RNAcentral's name for it is "partial 16S ribosomal RNA". It matches the Rfam family "Bacterial small subunit ribosomal RNA", at positions 524 to 776 of the family's 1533-position model. The record is from RNAcentral.